UACGUAGGUGGCGAGCGUUGUCCGGAUUUACUGGGCGUAAAGAGCGCGCAGGCGGCUGGUCAAGUCCGAUGUGAAAGCUCCCGGCUUAACUGGGAAAUUGCAUCGGAAACUGAUCGGCUGGAAGGUGGGAGAGGGUAGCGGAAUUCCCGGUGUAGUGGUGAAAUGCGUAGAUAUCGGGAGGAACACCAGUGGCGAAGGCGGCUGUCUGGGCCAGUUCUGACGCUGAGGCGCGAAAGCGUGGGGAGCAAACAGG
RNAcentral lists this ribosomal RNA (253 nucleotides) under uncultured bacterium. Its description in RNAcentral is "partial 16S ribosomal RNA". It matches the Rfam family "Bacterial small subunit ribosomal RNA", at positions 524 to 776 of the family's 1533-position model. The record is from RNAcentral.